CCCGGCUCAAGGAAAACGCUCCGUCGUACUGUCCACCAAUCGCCCACGUCCAGGGCUCAGGUGGCCAUCCCUGAUUUGCGGAAUCAGCACCGGGCCAAGCCGUGGUUUAGACACCCGGUUCACAAUGAUCAAUGGAGCUAUGGAAACAGCAGACAUCGCGCCGGAGCCUGCUGGCCUCCCAUCUGGAGCCUCACAGACACUGAAGGCUAUGAAAGCUGUAAUACUGUGGAGAUGAAAAGGACAUAUGGCAAUCACCUCAUUUGUCUCCUUCCUCCAAAGACCACAACUAUAGCACCAUAUAGCACAUGUUGCAGGCAAGUCCCUGUCACUCCUGGAUGCUCACUCGCUGAUGCUGGCAAGGGUCUCCCCACGGUGCUGGAAAGAUAGCUAGAGCCCCGCCCCCCCUCCAGUGGAGCGGCAGGUGCAGAGGAAACUUGGAUGUGCUGAAAGAGAGUUUCCAGAGGCCACGGUGCUGCAAAUGGAAAUGUCAACGUGGGAUAAUUACAUUGGCCCUGAUGCCCUGUUUUCUGACUACCGUUCGUCCACAAUCGAUUACUGAAAAAGACAAAGGCUGUGAAUAAUCAUCCAAGCAGAUGAAGUGUCAGGUGACCAGGCCAGAAGAGAAAACAGGGCUCCCCUGAAAGGUGAGGGAAGAAAGGCCUCUGGCCCAGGAAAUCUGUCUGCCGUGGGGACAAAUCAAGCGACAGAGAAAGGUGUAGGGCUCAGACCUGGCCUCGGCAGGCAAGGUAUGUACCGAUGCACCAGUUACUCACUGGGCUGGUCCUCUUAACAUCUUCUGAGAGCCAUGGGAAGCUCUCUCUAGGAAAUGGGGAAGGAAGUCGUAAGAAAGGCCCCUGAGGAUAUCACAUGAAGGAGGAAGCAUGGACAUUAGAAUGAGGGUAAAAGAUCACAAGUCCUGGAAACUAGUUAUUCAGAGACAGUCCUUGUAACACACCCACACACCCACACCCACACCCACACACACACCCACACACACACAGGGUUGACAGAGUCUGUGGCCCACAGUUUUCUUUGGCUGGCUUCUUCUCUGCCUUUAAGUCUGGCGGAGGAGAUGGGGCUAGGCAUUUAUCGCUGGAUGUUUUAGUCAGUUUCACUUCCUGUUUCUCAUGCUGAAAGCAUAAUAAUCAUCAUAAUGAUAAUAAUAAUUCUAAGGACUUGCCUCUGCCUCCUAUUUAUCUAGGGCCUGUCAGAAGUGUGCACAUAGGUGGGAGAGGGAGACUACAGCUUAUCUACUCCAUCAAUCAACAGCCGGGAGUGGAGGCAGGCAUGGAGGUGAGGGUGGGGGUUAGUAAUUAGCAGCGGAAAUUAUUAAACUCAUUUUUUUUUUCAAGAGGAGGGAUCUAAAUGGGUUGUUAGCUUCCCAAAUGGUUAUUCUUACCAUAGAGACAUUUAUAAAUCUCUUCUUCCAAGGUCCUCCGGAAAUAAAUCCUCCCCAAAACUUUCCAUUCUCCAAUCUGCCCCAGCUAAGGAAAUCCUUGUGAAUUGAGGCCCAGAGAGUUUAGGCUGACCUCCUAGAGUCACACAGCAAGCAGACCGGCAGGAAAGAUAGGACCAGGCCAGGAUUCUUCUGCAUCCAUUAAGAGCUAUAACCAAGAAGGGAAUUUCCAAGUCUACAGGGAACUUGCAAAGUUUUUAGGAAAAACCACAACUAUUUUAGCUAAGGAAAAAAUGUGCAGUCCCUGCCGACUUGAAACCCUAGGACAAUAAGAGAGAGUUCCCUCUUACCAAGAACAUGUUGGGAACAUCUAAGAUUAGGGGGGGUAGGAGGAACAGCUUUCAGACUUUGGUUGGGAAAAGCGUUCAUGGAAUAGAGGUGUUGGGCCAGGGUUUUAAUUUUUUACCACCAGUCAAGAGCUGUACUCUAAAGGACAAAGGUUGUACACUUUAUAGGCUCUCGGGACUCAGAUGGAAGUGGAGGGAAGUGCGGGAAGGAGCCAUUAUCUUGAUGACAGCAGGGACAUAAUCUUCCCUUAGAUCCAGGGAGGAGGGAAGCAGGGAGCUCAAGAUUUGUUUUUAGGGGCACUUGGGUGGCUCAGUCAGUUA
Long non-coding RNA from Lynx canadensis (Canada lynx), 2064 nucleotides. RefSeq lists it as uncharacterized. Lineage: Eukaryota; Metazoa; Chordata; Mammalia; Carnivora; Felidae. The transcript has 4 exons. The record is from RefSeq and is a predicted model, not a curated record.